CAGCCGCCCGGGAAUACGAAGGGUGCAAGCGUUACUCGGAAUUACUGGGCGUAAAGCGUGCGUAGGCGGCUUUUUAAGUCGGAUGUGAAAUCCCUGAGCUUAACUUAGGAAUUGCAUUCGAUACUGGGAAGCUAGAGUAUGGGAGAGGAUGGUAGAAUUCCAGGUGUAGCGGUGAAAUGCGUAGAGAUCUGGAGGAAUACCGAUGGCGAAGGCAGCCAUCUGGCCUAAUACUGACGCUGAGGUACGAAAGCAUGGGGAGCAAACAGGAUUAGAUACCCCUGUAGUCCCUGUCUCUUAUACA
Molecule: ribosomal RNA, 301 nt
Filed under: uncultured bacterium
Lineage: Bacteria
Description: partial 16S ribosomal RNA
Rfam family: Bacterial small subunit ribosomal RNA
Source: RNAcentral